Long non-coding RNA from Triticum dicoccoides, 2686 nucleotides. RefSeq lists it as uncharacterized. The transcript is spliced from 10 exons. The record is from RefSeq and is a predicted model, not a curated record. NCBI's taxonomy places the organism in Eukaryota, Viridiplantae, Streptophyta, Magnoliopsida, Poales, Poaceae.
GACACCUUUGCCUCUAUCAUAUGCGGUCGUCGGUGGCGCCUGGUUCCAAAUCCGGCGCAAGUUAGUCGAGUCAGCCGAUGGUGAGGUGAAGGAGCAGAGUAGGCGACCCGUCGCGAUGGGAUGAGGCUACAGGGAAGAGGGUCAUGUCCCGUGGUGGCCCAGAUGCAGCCGCCCCGUGGCGGGCCUCGACGAGCACGGCCUCGAUCCGGCCUCAGCCGGAGGACCUCGAGCCAAGGAGUGCGGCCUCGAUUGGGACUCGGCAUCUGGGGCGACGACGGAGGAGGAGGGGAGCAGCAGCUAGCAUCUGGGGCGGCGGCGGCUGGACUCCAUGAGCUGGUCGAGGUGCUUCAUGUCAAGGAAGCAGCUGACAGUGCAAGCUGAGUGAUCCACGGCGAGGAAGAUGGGGAAGACAGAGCCAACACCGCCGAUUCCCACGGACCACUUCAGUUAGCAGAGCAUAAAAUGGAGCCGGCAACAGGGAUGAUGGAAUAAACAAUGGUGGCUGAACAGUGGAAACCCGAAGCUGGCUGAGAAAGAGGGAGGCAGUGCGUGGCGGAAGAGGGCGUCCAUGUGGUAUCCGUUUCUGGUCAUCUUCAGCUUGCAGGUGAGCGGUUUAAUAAAAUUGUAGCCAGUCCAUACUACAUGCUCCCAGAGGUAUUAAAGCACAAGUGUGGCCCUGAAAUCGAUGUCUGGAUUGUAGGAGUUAUACUUUACAUACUUCUUUGUGGUGUGCAAACAUUUUUGGAAGAUUCUGAACAGGGAGUAGCACAAGCAAUUAUGUGCUCAGUGGUAGAUUUCAAAAGAGACCCAAUGCCCAGAGUAUCUGAGCCUGCUAAAGACUUUGUUCGACAGACGCUGGAUCCCAAUCCCAAUCACACGGUUUACUACAACACACGUACUCGGUGGUGUCUGUCGGUAGGAUCUCCCUAAACAUGUGUCAUCAAAUCCAACUGCAAGCUACACGACAAGCUAUGAUUGAAUACCAUGUACAACUGACCUGCUGAUUUUGCUGCUGUGCUGGUCAGGGAGUGCGUCCACUGACAUACGGACACAAGAGAUAUUCAGUUAUGAGGAUUAGGAUAUUAAUGAUCGUUCAGUCAUUGAGGAUUAAAAGAGGCAUCAAUGCUCCAGUAGAGGUGGUAUUGAAGUCGUGGCUGUCAGUAGACCUUUUAUUGAUGCUAACUACAUGGAUAGCAGUCAUUGUGGAUUUGAAAGGAGACAUCAAGGCAGCAAAUGGGGCAGUAUUUUGAUCUCAUUUCAUCUGACGCAUUGAAUAUUUGUUGUCUUCUUUACAUGCCACCAAGUUCAUGUUGCUUUUCUUGUAUGAUUAUUUUGUAGUCUGCUCCACUGUGAACUUAAAUGAAGACCUAGGUUGAUUUCUAAUUUGUGAAUGUCAUUGAGCUGCUGCUACACACGCUGAAAGAUUGGGUUGGUAGACUGAUGUACAUUUGUUCAGUUCUUCCAUUGUUUAGAUGAUUCAGAAUUUGGCUCAGGCCAGUGGAUAAAAUAUGCUUAUUUGCAUGGUUGCUGGUGUAUGUUGGUCAUGCAUCUAAACUCACUUACUUCCCAUGAUUUUAGGAUGGCUGCUAAGCUUCUCCUUUUGCUGAAAAGUCUAUGGGCGAAUGUGUUGCUGUGGAUAGCUUGCCUGUAUGCAGAAUCUAUCCUUAGAUUCUAUGAGAUGAUGCAUUGGUGUGGUCAGCCUACCUGUGUGCAGAAUCUUUGUUUACAUUUUGUCAGAAUUUUGCUUUCUUCCUUAUUGUUCCCAUGGCGGUCUGAUCCUGUAGAUAAAAAUUGUGCGUGUCUACGAUCUACUAUGUCUGGUGCAUGUCUAUGUAGUUAUCCGAUGCAUGUCUAUGUAGUUAUCUGUUUAAUAAACUUAUACUUAGUUGGGUUGUCUGGAGAGUAUAAUAUGGUUGAAUGAUUGUUUGCAUGAUCAUAUCAUCAUUUGGGGGAUUGGUUUGAGUUCCUCAGGAAAUUUAAUUGUUCUGCCAUAAAACUUCACUGUGAAAAUUUUAAUUUCCAAGUUGACGUUCGGUCAUAUACAGGAAAAACUCACAUUUAUUUGUAUCUCAACUUUAUUGGUUUAUUUAACUAUGUAUAUUAUAAGAUUGGAGAUGGAAAAACUUUUGGUUUUGAAUGUGUCUUCUGUAUUUAGCAAACUGUUGCUAUUCUUGCAGUCUAUGAGAGCUAAAUUUACAGGGCGAGACUAGAUCCCAUCUGUUUGGAUUCAUCGUGUGCAUUGGAGCCACUGCUGCAAGAGCGUUGAACACUGUGUUGCAAGUAAUUCUUCUGUCGUCCGAGGGGGAGAAACUUAAUUCUAUGAACCUGCUCUUGUACAUGGCUCCAAUUGUUCUCAUUCUCUUGCUUCCUGCUACCCUCUUUAUGGAGGAUAAUGUUGUUGGCGUUACAACAGAACUGGUCAAAAAGGAUUUCACUAUUGUUUGGUUGCUGUUGUUCAACUCUUGCUUGUAAUAUCCUGUCAAUUUCACCAAUUUCUUGGUGACGAAACAUACUAGCGCAUUGGCACUACAUAUUUCUUGCAUGGAGAGGAGCGUUGCGAUGACACCUCCAGAACCUACGCAAUGAUGAAAGCAGCCUCGCGAAGAUAGGAGUUAUCCUGGUUAGUUGUUCCUGUGGGAAAUGGAGUCCCAUGGCCACUGAUGAACCACAAACCACUUCCGUCAUC